UUCCCUUUUAAAUGCAGUCCAGAGAGGCUGACAAAGGGCAGAAUGAAUGACGGCGCUGCUGAUUUCGGUACCGUGUAUGGGAGAUCGAACAGCGAGCGCAUGAUUUUGCUUACCUCUUUGUCGGCGUUUAGCUGCAAAGAGGUUUUUUU
Molecule: non-coding RNA, 149 nt
Organism: Bacillus smithii
Lineage: Bacteria; Bacillati; Bacillota; Bacilli; Caryophanales; Bacillaceae
Source: Rfam